CGAGGUAUCCGUAAGGGAGGCAAAACCCCCUUACAAGGAGAAGACGCAAUGCGGAGUGAACAAUAAGUAACGAAGCUGGUGAGCUAGCUGCCAAGGAAAGCCGCUAUUGUUUUGUAUGUGCCCGUACCGUAAACCGACACAGGUGGAUGAGGAGAGAAUCCUAAGGCCGGCGGGAGAAGUGUUGUUAAGGAACUCGGCAAAAUGACUCCGUAACUUCGGGAGAAGGAGUGCCACAGAGAUGUGGCCGCAGAGAAAUGGCCCAAGCAACUGUUUAGCAAAAACACAGGUCUAUGCAAAACCGAAAGGUGAGGUAUAUGGGCUGACGCCUGCCCGGUGCUGGAAGGUUAAGAGGAGAGCUUAGCGCAAGCGAAGGUUUGAAUUUAAGCCCCAGUAAACGGCGGCCGUAACGAUAACGGUCCUAAGGUAGCGAAAUUCCUUGUCGGGUAAGUUCCGACCCGCACGAAAGGCGUAAUGAUUUGGGCACUGUCUCGACAACACACCCGGUGAAAUUGAAAUACCAGUGAAGAUGCUGGUUACCUGCGCCAGGACGGAAAGACCCCAUGGAGCUUUACUCCAGUUUGAUACUGGGAUUCGGUACUGUCUGUACAGGAUAGGUGGGAAGCUAGGAAAUGAUGACGCCAGUUGUCAUGGAGCUGACCUUGGGAUACCACCCUUACAGUACUGGGUUUCUAACCUGCAGCCGUGACCCGGCUGGGGGACAAUGUCUGACGGGGAGUUUGACUGGGGCGGUCGCCUCCGAAAGGGUAUCGGAGGCGCUCAAAGGUUCCCUCAGAAUGGUCGGAAACCAUUCGAAGAGUGCAAAGGCAGAAGGGAGCUUGACUGCGACACCGACGGGUGGAGCAGGUACGAAAGUAGGACUUAGUGAUCCGGUGGUAUAACGUGGGAUUGCCAUCGCUCAAUGGAUAAAAGCUACCCUGGGAUAACAGGCUUAUCACUCCCAAGAGUUCACAUCGACGGAGUGGUUUGGCACCUCGAUGUCGGCUCAUCGCAUCCUGGAGCUGUAGCAGGUUCCAAGGGUUGGGCUGUUCGCCCAUUAAAGCGGUACGCGAGCUGGGUUCAGAACGACGUGAGACAGUUCGGUCCCUAUCCGGCGUGGGCGUAGGAUAUUUGAGAGGAGCUGUCCUUAGUACGAGAGGACCGGGAUGGACGGACCGCUGGUGUAUCUGUUGUUGACCAACAGCAUGGCAGAGUAGCCAAGUCCGGCAGGGAUAAACGCUGAAGGCAUCUAAGCGUGAAGCCCCCCUCAAGAUUAGAUAUCCCAUUCUUUAAAGAAAUAAGACCCCUUGAAGACUACGAGGUUGAUAGGUCUGAGGUGUAAGUGCGGUAACGCAUUCAGCUGACAGAUACUAAUAGGUCGAAGACUUAUCA
Molecule: ribosomal RNA, 1389 nt
Filed under: metagenome
Description: bacterial LSU rRNA
Rfam family: Bacterial large subunit ribosomal RNA
Source: RNAcentral